GAAGAGUUUGAUCAUGGCUCAGAUUGAACGCUGGCGGCAGGCCUAACACAUGCAAGUCGAACGGUAACAGGAAGCAGCUUGCUGCUUUGCUGACGAGUGGCGGACGGGUGAGUAAUGUCUGGGAAACUGCCUGAUGGAGGGGGAUAACUACUGGAAACGGUGGCUAAUACCGCAUAACGUCGCAAGACCAAAGAGGGGGACCUUCGGGCCUCUUGCCAUCAGAUGUGCCCAGAUGGGAUUAGCUUGUUGGUGAGGUAACGGCUCACCAAGGCGACGAUCCCUAGCUGGUCUGAGAGGAUGACCAGCCACACUGGAACUGAGACACGGUCCAGACUCCUACGGGAGGCAGCAGUGGGGAAUAUUGCACAAUGGGCGCAAGCCUGAUGCAGCCAUGCCGCGUGUAUGAAGAAGGCCUUCGGGUUGUAAAGUACUUUCAGCGGGGAG
This 444-nucleotide ribosomal RNA is filed under the name Salmonella enterica. Its description in RNAcentral is "bacterial SSU rRNA". It matches the Rfam family "Bacterial small subunit ribosomal RNA", at positions 1 to 446 of the family's 1533-position model. Lineage: Bacteria; Pseudomonadati; Pseudomonadota; Gammaproteobacteria; Enterobacterales; Enterobacteriaceae. RNAcentral also lists the same sequence under 1 other name. The record is from RNAcentral.